Oncorhynchus tshawytscha (Chinook salmon) is the source of this 913-nucleotide long non-coding RNA. The record is from Ensembl. Lineage: Eukaryota; Metazoa; Chordata; Actinopteri; Salmoniformes; Salmonidae.
CUUGAACAGUUAAACAGUACAACGUUGCUACAACGUACAUCUGAAAUCACCAUCCCUUUAAUGGAGCUGCAGCUCCUGUCCCUUUAAUGGAGCUACAGCUCCCGUCCCUUUAAUGGAGCUACAGCUCCCGUCCCUUUAAUGGAGCUGCAGCUCCCGUCCCUUUAAUGGAGCUGCAGCUCCCGUCCCUUUAAACUGGAGUUUACGUCCCUUAGUUAAACUGGAGUUUACGUCCCUUAGUUAAACUGGAGUUUACGUCCCUUAGUUAAACUGGAGUUUACGUCCCUUAGUUAAACUGGAGUUUACGUCCCUUAGUUAAACUGGAGUUUACGUCCCUUAGUUAAACUGGAGGUCUUCUGUCAGUGUUACACGUCUGCAGUGGGCCACCGGCCCAUCAAACAGACCUACAUUACGUUGACAAAGUGUUGUCAUUACGUUGACAAAGUGUUGUCAUUACGUUGACAAAGUGUUGUCUUUACAUUGUCUCCUGGGCCUGCAUCCCAAAUGGCACCCUAUUCCAUAUAUAGUGCACUACUUUAGACCCAAAGGGAAUAGUAGUGCACUAUAAAGGGAGUAGGGUGCCAUUUGGGACGCCAGUCCAGUAAGUGAGGUCAGAGUAGUCUUAGCGGCUACGGUGUUCAACAAUCUACAGUGUUUCCUUUAGAGACAACAGUACAGAUCCCCUAUCAGGCCAUUAUAGUAGUUAACUAAUAAACACAGUGACAGUACAGAUCCCCUAUCAGGCCAUUAUAGUAGUUAACUAAUAACCACAGUGACAGUACAGAUCCCCUAUCAGGCCAUUAUAGUAGUUAACUAAUAAACACAGUGACAGUACAGAUCCCCUAUCAGGCCAUUAUAGUAGUUAACUAAUAAACACAGUGACAGUACAGAUCCCCUAUCAGGCCAUUAUAGUAGU